RNAcentral lists this ribosomal RNA (495 nucleotides) under uncultured bacterium. Its description in RNAcentral is "partial 16S ribosomal RNA". It matches the Rfam family "Bacterial small subunit ribosomal RNA", at positions 28 to 507 of the family's 1533-position model. The record is from RNAcentral.
GACGAACGCUGGCGGCGUGCCUAAUACAUGCAAGUAGAACGCUGAAGGAGGAGCUUGCUUCUCUGGAUGAGUUGCGAACGGGUGAGUAACGCGUAGGUAACCUGCCUGGUAGCGGGGGAUAACUAUUGGAAACGAUAGCUAAUACCGCAUAAUAGCAGUUGUUGCAUGACAACUGUUUGAAAGGUGCAAUUGCACCACUACCAGAUGGACCUGCGUUGUAUUAGCUAGUUGGUGGGGUAACGGCUCACGAAGGCGACGAUACAUAGCCGACCGGAGAGGGGGGGUGGCCAGACUGGGACUGUGACACGGCCCAGACGCCUACGGGAGGCAGCAGUAGGGAAUCGUCGGGAAUGGGCGGAAAUCUUACCGAGCAACGCCGCGGGAGGGAAGAAGGUUGUCGGAUCGGAAAGCUCUGUUGUAAGGGAAGAACGAGUGUGAGAGUGGAAAGUUCACACUGUGACGGUAACUUACCAGAAAGCGACGGCUAACUACGUG